Molecule: non-coding RNA, 299 nt
Organism: Equus caballus (horse)
Lineage: Eukaryota; Metazoa; Chordata; Mammalia; Perissodactyla; Equidae
Source: Rfam
GGAUGUAAGGGUGAUCUGGCUGUGAUAUCUCUCACCCCAUUGAUUGCCAGGCUUGGUUUGGCUGGCUAGGCAGGUGUCCCCUUCCUCCCUCACCACCCCAUGUUUUUCAUUCCUGAAGCUGUUUGCUCAGUUGAAGAGGAUGACCUUCUCCAAUGGAGGAGGAUUUUUCUUUGGUAUAUGAGUAGCUGCUCCCCUGCUAGAACCUCCAAACAAGCUCUCAAGAACUGUUUCUUUGCUUGUAUUCACCCCAUUGAACCCAUGAACACAGUUGCACUGGCCACUGGAGCUUGGCUAUCAAG